GAACCAGUACCGUGAGGGAAAGGUGAAAAGAACCCCGGGAGGGGAGUGAAAAGAACAUGAAACCAUAAACUUACAAGCAGUAGGAGGACGACUAAAACGUUUGACUGCGUGCCUGUUGAAGAAUGAGCCGGCGACUUAUAGUUAGUGGCAGGUUAAAGUAGAGAAUACUGAAGCCAUAGUGAAAGCGAGCCUGAAUAGGGCGUUUGUCACUAAUUAUAGACCCGAACCCGGAUGAUCUAACCAUGG
Molecule: ribosomal RNA, 246 nt
Filed under: uncultured eukaryote
Lineage: Eukaryota
Description: partial Bacterial large subunit ribosomal RNA
Rfam family: Bacterial large subunit ribosomal RNA
Source: RNAcentral